UAUGCACCCCCUCCGUCCGAAAAUACUUGUCAUAAGAAUGGAUGUAUCUAGAUGUAUUUUAGUUCUAGAUACAUUCAUUUGUAUCCAUCAAUGCGACAAAUAUUUGCGGACGGAGGGAGUAGUUG
RNAcentral lists this microRNA precursor (125 nucleotides) under Hordeum vulgare. Its description in RNAcentral is "microRNA MIR1122". It matches the Rfam family "MIR1120/MIR1122 microRNA precursor family". The record is from RNAcentral. Lineage: Eukaryota; Viridiplantae; Streptophyta; Magnoliopsida; Poales; Poaceae.